GACGAACGCUGGCGGCGUGCUUAACACAUGCAAGUCGAACGGAAAGGCCCUGCGUUUGUUGGGUGCUCGAGUGGCGAACGGGUGAGUAACACGUGAGUAACCUGCCCUUGACUUUGGGAUAACUUCAGGAAACUGGGGCUAAUGCCAGAUAGGAGCUCCUACUGCAUGGGGGUGGGUGGGAAUUGUCGGCGGUUGUGGAUGGAAUCGCGGCGUAUCAGCGUGUUGGUGGGGUAGUGGCUUACCAGGGCUUUGACGGGUAGCGGGCCUGAGAGGGUGACCGGACACGUCGGGCCUGAGCUACGGCACAGCCUACUCUGGGACGCAGCAGUGCGGAAUAGUGCACAAUGGGCGGAAGCCUGAUGCAGCACCGCCGCGUGCGGGAUGACGGCCUUCGGGUUGUAAACCGCUUUCGCCUGUGACGAAGCGUGAGUGACGGUAACGGGUAAAGAAGCACCGGCUAACUACGUG
Molecule: ribosomal RNA, 468 nt
Filed under: uncultured bacterium
Lineage: Bacteria
Description: partial 16S ribosomal RNA
Rfam family: Bacterial small subunit ribosomal RNA
Source: RNAcentral